GCUCCAGUAGCUCAGGGGUUAGAGCACCGUUCUUAUAAAGCGGGGGUCGGUGGUUCAAUUCCACCCUGGAGCA
RNAcentral lists this transfer RNA (73 nucleotides) under Candidatus Dojkabacteria bacterium. RNAcentral's name for it is "tRNA-Ile". It matches the Rfam family "tRNA". Rfam says of the family: Transfer RNA (tRNA) molecules are approximately 80 nucleotides in length. Their secondary structure includes four short double-helical elements and three loops (D, anti-codon, and T loops). The record is from RNAcentral.